Molecule: non-coding RNA, 73 nt
Organism: Trichonephila clavipes
Lineage: Eukaryota; Metazoa; Arthropoda; Arachnida; Araneae; Nephilidae
Source: the annotation of a GenBank genome assembly
GUCCCUGUAGCGCAAUGGAUAACGCGUUGGACUUCUCAUCCAAAGGAUGAGGGGGAGAAUCCCACCUGGGAUG